AGAUGCAGAGCAGGGGGCUGAUGGGAGAGGAAGGCUGCAGAGGGCCAGCAGACCUGUGGCAGCCACUUUAUCCAGAUCCUGCAGUUGAAGGAAGAAUACCUGCAGAGAGCCACAGGGCCCCGUGAGGUCAGCCCUGAGGCUUCCACCAGGGAGAAGGCGUGUCUGUUUGAAGACCUGGACCACCCCACUUGCUGCCAGGCUGUCAGUGACCACCACCCCAUUCACAGGAGACUGCAUGUUGGCCUCUUCCAGGGUGGAGGCAACUCCCUGGAACCACUUCCACAGUUUGGACAAGGAGCUUCAAAACUCGGCCAUGGCCAAGGUCUGUGGGUGAUGGGGGCAUGAGGCGUGGGUUGGGGCCUUUCCCACAUCAGGCUGGGCCCCAGAAUAUGUGGUCUGGGCCUGGAAGGAGCAAUCCCCUUUCUUAACCUUUUGGGACAUGUUCCCUCCUGCUUCCUGC
RNAcentral lists this small RNA (460 nucleotides) under Pongo abelii (Sumatran orangutan). RNAcentral describes it as "retained intron". The record is from RNAcentral. Lineage: Eukaryota; Metazoa; Chordata; Mammalia; Primates; Hominidae.